This 553-nucleotide ribosomal RNA is filed under the name uncultured bacterium. RNAcentral describes it as "partial 16S ribosomal RNA". It matches the Rfam family "Bacterial small subunit ribosomal RNA", at positions 357 to 900 of the family's 1533-position model. The record is from RNAcentral.
GGGAAUCUUCCACAAUGGACGCAAGUCUGAUGGAGCAACGGCCGCGUGAGUGAAGAAGGUUUUCGGACCGUAAAGCUCUGUUGUUGGUGAAGAAGGAUAGAGGUAGUAACUGGCCUUUAUUUGACGGUAAUCAACCAGAAAGUCACGGCUAACUACGUGCCAGCAGCCGCGGUAAUACGUAGGUGGCAAGCGUUGUCCGGAUUUAUUGGGCGUAAAGCGAGCGCAGGCGGAAGAAUAAGUCUGAUGUGAAAGCCCUCGGCUUAACCGAGGAAUUGCAUCGGAAACUGUUUUCUUGAGUGCAGAAGAGGAGAGUAGAACUCCAUGUGUAGCGGUGGAAUGCGUAGAUAUAUGGAAGAAUACCAGUGGCGAAGGCGGCUCUCUGGUCUGCAACUGACGCUGAGGCUCGAAAGCAUGGGUAGCGAACAGGAUUAGAUACCCUGGUAGUCCAUGCCGUAAACGAUGAGUGCUAAGUGUUGGGAGGCUUCCGCCUCUCAGUGCUGCAGCUAACGCAUUAAGCACUCCGCCUGGGGGAGUACGACCGCAAGGUUGAAAC